Carassius auratus (goldfish) is the source of this 244-nucleotide long non-coding RNA. RefSeq lists it as uncharacterized. Lineage: Eukaryota; Metazoa; Chordata; Actinopteri; Cypriniformes; Cyprinidae. The transcript has 7 exons. The record is from RefSeq and is a predicted model, not a curated record.
AAAACCUACAGCAGUGCAAAGGCCAAACCAAAGAGUGAUGCCUUCAGCCUCAAGGCUUUCACCGAUGAACAGGCCUUUCAAUACAGGUGAAAUCCACUGGAGUUAUCAAAACCUUCCAGCUGCAGAAAAAGGCAUCUUCGAACCAACAUAUGUGGACCCAAUUCCAGAUUCAAUUUAUGUAAACGGAGAUGACUCAUCGUUAGAUUCAGAUUCAGGAAAAUACGAGAAUAUUUUUCAAACAAAA